AAAUUGAAGAGUUUGAUCAUGGCUCAGAUUGAACGCUGGCGGCAGGCCUAACACAUGCAAGUCGAACGGUAGCACAGAGAGCUUGCUCUCGGGUGACGAGUGGCGGACGGGUGAGUAAUGUCUGGGAAACUGCCUGAUGGAGGGGGAUAACUACUGGAAACGGUGGCUAAUACCGCAUAACGUCGCAAGACCAAAGAGGGGGACCUUCGGGCCUCUUGCCAUCAGAUGUGCCCAGAUGGGAUUAGCUUGUUGGUGAGGUAACGGCUCACCAAGGCGACGAUCCCUAGCUGGUCUGAGAGGAUGACCAGCCACACUGGAACUGAGACACGGUCCAGACUCCUACGGGAGGCAGCAGUGGGGAAUAUUGCACAAUGGGCGCAAGCCUGAUGCAGCCAUGCCGCGUGUAUGAAGAAGGCCUUCGGGUUGUAAAGUACUUUCAGCGGGGAGGAAGGUGUUGUGGUUAAUAACCGCAGCAAUUGACGUUACCCGCAGAAGAAGCACCGGCUAACUCC
This 512-nucleotide ribosomal RNA is filed under the name Salmonella enterica subsp. enterica serovar Infantis. RNAcentral's name for it is "bacterial SSU rRNA". It matches the Rfam family "Bacterial small subunit ribosomal RNA", at positions 1 to 504 of the family's 1533-position model. The record is from RNAcentral. Lineage: Bacteria; Pseudomonadati; Pseudomonadota; Gammaproteobacteria; Enterobacterales; Enterobacteriaceae. RNAcentral also lists the same sequence under 1 other name.